UCAGCUCUGCUCUGCUCCACCACAAAACCUUCUCAUAAUAUUCUCUCCAAUCCAAUCGCAAUCUUCGCCGGAAAAUGAGCGAUGUCAUUCAUCGGCGGCCGUCGUACCUGAGCGGAUNCUUCAUUUAUCGUACGAUACACAAAGUUAGUCGACUGUAUUUAUUUAUUUUAAUUGCGUAGUCUCUUAGAAUUAAUCGGACCUAACCUAACUCGUAUUUACUUAUCCAAAAAUAAAUAAAUAGACAGUAAUGAUAAUAAUAAGUGAUUGGGCCCAUAGAAAUGCAAAAAGAGGAUAGAAUAAAACGUUACUCUCCACAUAGGAUGCCUUUCUUUCUACACAACUUCCAAACUUUAUAAAGCUCAGCUCUGCUCUGCUCCACCACAAAACCUUCUCAUAAUAUUCUCUCCAAUCCAAUCGCAAUCUUCGCCGGAAAAUGAGCGACGUCAUUCAUCGGCGGCCGUCGUACCUGAGCGGAUGCAUGUCGCCGUCGUGCGUCCCGGUGCACGAGGAGUACUCGCGCAUUCACGUGGAGAAGAGGCACCGCGGGGGGCGGAGGCUGCGCAGGCUCAUCCGGAAGAUUCUGAGCGAGAGCAAGAGCCUUUACGGCACACAGAAGCCCCUCACUUUACAGUACGACGCCGUUAGCUACUCUCAGAAUUUCGACGACGGCUGCCACCGCGACGAUCAUUAUGCUCCGUUGCACCACACCUUCAGAUCUUAGGCACGCCGCCCAACCAAUUUGUACAUAUUUUUAAGAAUUAAUCUUUUCCAAUUUUCACUCUUUUUUGGGAUCCUUUGAUUUUUUGGAUCCAUCGGCUCGUUCGAGAAUGGAGUAUAUGCUGAUGCUGCGGUUUUAUUAAACUUUUUUUUAUUAUCAAACUUUAUCAUCUCUCUCUCUCUCU
This 902-nucleotide long non-coding RNA is filed under the name Salvia miltiorrhiza (redroot sage). RNAcentral describes it as "long non-coding RNA (SMIL_LNC008088)". Lineage: Eukaryota; Viridiplantae; Streptophyta; Magnoliopsida; Lamiales; Lamiaceae. The record is from RNAcentral.